AUUCUGUUGCUGGUCAUUACAGUCCCUCGGUAUUUAUUAUAUAAGAAGAAAUGGAAGUCAGGCCAUUCUGAUUGCUUCUCAGGAUAUAUUACAGCCAGAUCCUCUGACAGUGGCACUGAAAACUCAAGUCAGUCAUCAACAGUGGCUUGAGACGAGAUCAGAAGGAUGAAUCAGGAGAAUCAUCAGUGCUUACUCAUGGACCUCAUGUGACUCCAUCUUUUAUUUUCCUCAUUUAUCACAUC
Long non-coding RNA from Cyprinus carpio (common carp), 242 nucleotides. RefSeq lists it as uncharacterized. The transcript has 4 exons. Lineage: Eukaryota; Metazoa; Chordata; Actinopteri; Cypriniformes; Cyprinidae. The record is from RefSeq and is a predicted model, not a curated record.